UAGGGAAUCUUCCACAAUGGGCGAAAGCCUGAUGGAGCAACGCCGCGUGUGUGAUGAAGGGUUCCGGCUCGUAAACACUGUUGUAAGAGAAGAAUGACAUUGAGAGUAACUGUUCAAUGUGUGACGGGAUCUUACCAGAAAGGAACGGCUAAAUACGUGCCA
RNAcentral lists this ribosomal RNA (162 nucleotides) under uncultured bacterium. RNAcentral's name for it is "partial 16S rRNA". It matches the Rfam family "Bacterial small subunit ribosomal RNA", at positions 355 to 510 of the family's 1533-position model. The record is from RNAcentral.